Molecule: ribosomal RNA, 680 nt
Filed under: Salmonella enterica subsp. enterica serovar Kentucky
Lineage: Bacteria; Pseudomonadati; Pseudomonadota; Gammaproteobacteria; Enterobacterales; Enterobacteriaceae
Description: bacterial SSU rRNA
Rfam family: Bacterial small subunit ribosomal RNA
Source: RNAcentral
UUAAAUUGAAGAGUUUGAUCAUGGCUCAGAUUGAACGCUGGCGGCAGGCCUAACACAUGCAAGUCGAACGGUAGCACAGAGAGCUUGCUCUCGGGUGACGAGUGGCGGACGGGUGAGUAAUGUCUGGGAAACUGCCCGAUGGAGGGGGAUAACUACUGGAAACGGUAGCUAAUACCGCAUAACGUCGCAAGACCAAAGUGGGGGACCUUCGGGCCUCACACCAUCGGAUGUGCCCAGAUGGGAUUAGCUAGUAGGUGGGGUAACGGCUCACCUAGGCGACGAUCCCUAGCUGGUCUGAGAGGAUGACCAGCCACACUGGAACUGAGACACGGUCCAGACUCCUACGGGAGGCAGCAGUGGGGAAUAUUGCACAAUGGGCGCAAGCCUGAUGCAGCCAUGCCGCGUGUAUGAAGAAGGCCUUCGGGUUGUAAAGUACUUUCAGCGAGGAGGAAGGCGUUGUGGUUAAUAACCACAGCGAUUGACGUUACUCGCAGAAGAAGCACCGGCUAACUCCGUGCCAGCAGCCGCGGUAAUACGGAGGGUGCAAGCGUUAAUCGGAAUUACUGGGCGUAAAGCGCACGCAGGCGGUUUGUUAAGUCAGAUGUGAAAUCCCCGGGCUCAACCUGGGAACUGCAUUUGAAACUGGCAAGCUUGAGUCUCGUAGAGGGGGGUAGAAUUCC